RNAcentral lists this ribosomal RNA (447 nucleotides) under Enterococcus faecalis. RNAcentral describes it as "bacterial SSU rRNA". It matches the Rfam family "Bacterial small subunit ribosomal RNA", at positions 68 to 495 of the family's 1533-position model. The record is from RNAcentral. Lineage: Bacteria; Bacillati; Bacillota; Bacilli; Lactobacillales; Enterococcaceae.
CCUCCCGAGUGCUUGCACUCAUUUGGAAAGAGGAGUGGCGGACGGGUGAGUAACACGUGGGUAACCUACCCAUCAGAGGGGGAUAACACUUGGAAACAGGUGCUAAUACCGCAUAACAGUUUAUGCCGCAUGGCAUAAGAGUGAAAGGCGCUUUCGGGUGUCACUGAUGGAUGGACCCGCGGUGCAUUAGCUAGUUGGUGAGGUAACGGCUCACCAAGGCCACGAUGCAUAGCCGACCUGAGAGGGUGAUCGGCCACACUGGGACUGAGACACGGCCCAGACUCCUACGGGAGGCAGCAGUAGGGAAUCUUCGGCAAUGGACGAAAGUCUGACCGAGCAACGCCGCGUGAGUGAAGAAGGUUUUCGGAUCGUAAAACUCUGUUGUUAGAGAAGAACAAGGACGUUAGUAACUGAACGUCCCCUGACGUAUCUAACCAGAAAGCCACG